RNAcentral lists this ribosomal RNA (442 nucleotides) under uncultured bacterium. RNAcentral's name for it is "partial 16S ribosomal RNA". It matches the Rfam family "Bacterial small subunit ribosomal RNA", at positions 338 to 795 of the family's 1533-position model. The record is from RNAcentral.
CCUACGGGUGGCAGCAGUGGGGAAUAUUGGGCAAUGGGCGCAAGCCUGACCCAGCAACGCCGCGUGAAGGAAGAAGGCGUUCGGGUUGUAAACUUCUUUUAAGGGGGAAGAGGAGAAGACGGUACCCCUUGAAUAAGCCACGGCUAACUACUAGACAGCAGCCGCGGUAAUACGUAGGUGGGAAGCGUGGUCCGGAUUUACUGGGUUUAAAGGGCGUGCAGCCGGGAGGACAAGUCAGAUGUGACCUCCCGCGGCCCAACCGCGGAACUGCAUUUGAAACUGUUUUUCUUGAGUACCGGAGAGGUGAUCGGAAUUCCUUGUGGAGCGGUGAAAUGCGUAGAUAUAAGGAAGAACACCAGUGGCGAAGGCGGAUGACUGGACGGCAACUGACGGUGAGGCGCGAAAGCGUGGGGAGCAAACAGGAGUAGAUACCCGAGUAGUC